This is a long non-coding RNA of Lontra canadensis (Northern American river otter), 141 nucleotides long. RefSeq lists it as uncharacterized. The record is from RefSeq and is a predicted model, not a curated record. Lineage: Eukaryota; Metazoa; Chordata; Mammalia; Carnivora; Mustelidae. The transcript has 3 exons.
UCCAGAUUUAAGGAACAGCUCUGCCGCCAGCUCACUGACAAACAUUUCCCGGCCUCUUUCAUUAACUGGCUGAUUGAAAUUGCAGAGACCCAGUGGUCACCCUAUCUGUAGGAUCAGCGUGGCACCCCUGCCAGCACUAUG